RNAcentral lists this unclassified non-coding RNA (200 nucleotides) under Inocybe sp. RNAcentral's name for it is "partial internal transcribed spacer 2". The record is from RNAcentral. Lineage: Eukaryota; Fungi; Basidiomycota; Agaricomycetes; Agaricales; Inocybaceae.
UUAAGUUCAGCGGGUAGUCCUACCUGAUUUGAGGUCAAGUUGGUCAAAAUAAAUGUGUGUUCAAGAAGCGGUCCAAUCUGUUUCAUGCAGCAUACCAAAAGGCAUAGAUAAUUAUCACACCUGUAGUAGUUUCCUCUGCUCAGAUACUGCUAAUGAAUUUCAGGGGAGCAGACCUCAAGAAAGCCUGCAACAACAACCCC